Molecule: ribosomal RNA, 305 nt
Filed under: uncultured bacterium
Lineage: Bacteria
Description: bacterial SSU rRNA
Rfam family: Bacterial small subunit ribosomal RNA
Source: RNAcentral
UCAAGCCUACGGGGCGCAGCAGUGAGGAAUAUUGGUCAAUGGGAGAGAUCCUGAACCAGCCAAGCCGCGUGAGGGAAGACGGCCCUAUGGGUUGUAAACCUCUUUUGUCGGAGAACAAAACCCGGGACGAGUCCCGGACUGCGUGUAUCCGAAGAAAAAGCAUCGGCUAACUCCGUGCCAGCAGCCGCGGUAAUACGGAGGAUGCGAGCGUUAUCCGGAUUUAUUGGGUUUAAAGGGUGCGUAGGCAGAUUAUUAAGUCAGUUGUGAAAGUUUGCGGCUCAACCGUAAAAUUGCAGUUGAUACUG